This 268-nucleotide long non-coding RNA is filed under the name Sorghum bicolor (sorghum). RNAcentral's name for it is "long non-coding RNA (SBIC_LNC011320)". The record is from RNAcentral. Lineage: Eukaryota; Viridiplantae; Streptophyta; Magnoliopsida; Poales; Poaceae.
GAAGGGCCUCGCGGACUGGGACGAGGCCGAGAAGGAGCACCUCGGCGAGGAGCUCUCCGACGUGCUGCUCUACUUGAUCCGCCUCUCCGACAUGUGCGGCGUCGACCUCGGCGACGCCGCCACCAGGAAGAUCGUCAAGAACGCCGUCAAGUACCCGGCGCCAUCAAAGGAAGGCGCCUGAUGACGAACGAUACCUCCCGGCGUGCUUCUUUGAUGCUUUGCGAUGGCUGGUCCCUGCUAGAACCAGACAGAUACAUGAACUGAUGCU